GUGCUCGCUUCGGCAGCACAUACACUAAAAAUUGGAACGAUACAGAGAAGAUUAGCAUGGCCCCCACACAAGGAUGACACGCAAAUUUGUGAAGCAUUCCAUGUUUGU
Molecule: small nuclear RNA, 108 nt
Filed under: Mus caroli (Ryukyu mouse)
Lineage: Eukaryota; Metazoa; Chordata; Mammalia; Rodentia; Muridae
Source: RNAcentral